ACAACUUUAGGCGGUGGAUCACUCGGCUCGUGCGUCGAUGAAGAACGCAGCCAGCUGCGUGAACUAAUGUGAAUUGCAGGACACAUUGAACAUCGACACUUUGAACGCAUAUUGCGGCCAAGGGUUCCGUCCUUUGGCCACGCCCGUCUGAGGGUCGGCU
RNAcentral lists this ribosomal RNA (160 nucleotides) under Peristernia sulcata. RNAcentral describes it as "partial 5.8S ribosomal RNA". It matches the Rfam family "5.8S ribosomal RNA". From Rfam's summary of the family: 5.8S ribosomal RNA (5.8S rRNA) is a component of the large subunit of the eukaryotic ribosome. It is transcribed by RNA polymerase I as part of the 45S precursor that also contains 18S and 28S rRNA. The record is from RNAcentral. Lineage: Eukaryota; Metazoa; Mollusca; Gastropoda; Neogastropoda; Fasciolariidae.